Molecule: ribosomal RNA, 21 nt
Filed under: Enterocytozoon bieneusi
Lineage: Eukaryota; Fungi; Microsporidia; Enterocytozoonidae
Description: partial large subunit ribosomal RNA
Source: RNAcentral
CAGUAGGGUGCCAUCAAGAGG